CACGAGGCAUCCAUACAAACGACAGCGUUACAUAAUUCAUGAUGUCACCUUGAAAUUACUCAAAGCGAGAAUUUGGAACUUGAAGUUUUCUCCCUUCUGCUCUGCAAGUAAUAGGGAGUACCGGUGUGUAGCAUCCUUAUCUGAUGAGCCCAAUGCUUGCUUUGUGCAGGAAAUAUUUCCCAUGUACUGUGACUAUGCACCUCCCAGAAUGCAAUACAUAUUAUGAGCUGAAUCCUUGUCUUCUCUUCAGUGAGAGGAAGUUGCCUGUGCUGUAAACUGCUCACUCCUUGCAAGUAAAAUCCUGAAGAAGGUCUCAACUGAUUGUGUCUGCUUUAUUUAAGAUUCACAAAGGGAACUAACAAUUUCCCUAACAGUCCGACUGCUGUGAUGGAUUUACAGUAACAGGAAGUAAAGAUAAGAUAAGAGGAUGAAAAUACUACUCUGAUAAUGACAUGUCGCUUGUUUGUUGUUCUCAUGUUCAACCUUUUUUUUCCGGCUUUUUGCCGUCUCGUUCUCAUGCUCCACAGGUAAUCGGAGGCCGGAGACGAGGCCGUUGUCGUGGGCAGACUGUUGUCGUACCUGCAACAUUAUUGGCUUAGCGCUGCGCUGUUUGCUGAGACAACACUUCGGCAAAACAUUCCUCUCAUGCAGUUAUUAGACAGCGGCAAGAUGAACGAGCCGGGUCAGCGCCACCGAAUCUCCUCGAGAGGCCCAGAGAACUUCGAGUGGGUGCCAACCAAAGGGCUUAACAACUGUAGGAUUUGCCUGCAAGGCUGCAUUGCACCGGAUUGUGCAAGUGCUCCUAUUGUCCAGAAAAAUCCUGAUAAUCUGACCAAAGCAAGGAGUGACUGCAAGGCAAACCCUGGCGUUCACCUCACACCCAGCGCGUCCGUGGGACCCGUCUGCUGCUGUGAGGGCCGAUGAGGGAAAGCCUGUCUGCUGACUAACAUGUCUGUGGAAGGCCACCGGCUGAGACGCCGUGCCCUGUCUUCACAGUGGGCACGCGGCAGGAGAGGCUGAGUGGAGCACAGCUAAAAUUAUCAGCUUGCCUGAUCCGGGCCAAGCUGGGCAGGAAUGUGUCACCGGAACCGUCUGUAUCAACAUUACGCACAUUACAGCGGGGCACGGUGUGACCACGGCAGCGCUUGAGUGGAAAAAGCACAGGCAAUAAUGACACGAGGGCUUCCUGUAAACGACACUGACAGCGUUGGGUUCAAAUAUCAAACCUGUUGCUUUUUCUUUGUCUACAGCCCCUUUGCACAAUUAAAGUUGACUAAAACCUGCGUUCUGGCUGCUCCACCAUCGUUAAUCCACAGUGAAUGGCUUGGUUGUACGUUUUUCAUCCAGCAUCAUCAGCAAUGCACAUCUCAGCACAUUAGUGAGUGACCGCUCUGUGGAAGCGAUGGAGUUUUCUUAAUAUGAGAAAAUUGAGGAUUUUCUGUGGUCCAAAUGACUCAUCUAGCCUCUAGCUUAUGCAGCCUUUUACAGUAUGUAAAGCUUUGUCUUUAUUCUCCUGGUGAAAUACAUUUGUGCUUUCAUUAAUUUAAAACCGGCUUCUAAGAGGAAAAUAACAUUUUGUCAGGAAUGGCAUUUUUUGGUGAGUGCUUUUACUGAGACCCCCUGAGGGAUGUGUCUAAAUAUAUCCAACGUGACAUGACUGCUUCUCUCAGCUUACAUGCAUUGUAAACAUGCUGUGCAUGCAUAUCUUGGCAUGUGAUGCUGUAAGAUAAAAUCUUCUGUGGUGUCCGAAAGGUGAUGUUGCUAAAACACAUUCAGCAGAGGCUUUAGACUUUUGAAGUUUCAGCUGCUUGACCAUUAAGGGUGGAGGAGACAUUUUAGAUAUAUGUUGCUGUUGCCCGUGGCAACACAUUCACCUUAGAGCCAAUCGAGUGUGUGAGGUGGUCACAGAGAGGAGCAGCGUACACACACACACACACACACACACACACACACACACACACACACACACACACACACACACACACACACACACACACACACACACACACACACACACACA
Betta splendens (Siamese fighting fish) is the source of this 2020-nucleotide long non-coding RNA. RefSeq lists it as uncharacterized. The transcript has 2 exons. The record is from RefSeq and is a predicted model, not a curated record. NCBI's taxonomy places the organism in Eukaryota, Metazoa, Chordata, Actinopteri, Anabantiformes, Osphronemidae.